UGUCCCGGGAUGGACCCCACGGCCCCCCUCCUUCCCUUUCGCCGCCCACACCGCCGCCAUCGUUGCAUUUAAUACUAAUAGCCAACGUGUAGCUAGCGCUUCGUUCUGCUCUGGCUGCGCCCCUUAGUCUCGCUCACUCCUCAGAACGACCCUCUUCCUCUCCCACUUUACAGAUAAGGACAUAGAGCUCCGAGAAGCGAAGCGACCAGACCCAGCCUUCCGGCGAGGGUAGAGGUGGGAUCCUGGCCACCGAGCGGAGACCCCUCCCCUUCGGCUGAGCCCCGGGGCGGGAUGUUAGCUUUCGUCUCCGGAUCCCGGCUUGCACUAACCCCCAAAGGAAAUGUGUGGUGGAGGACUGAGUGACCCCCUGGCCUGAGCAGGGCGGCUCGCCUUCCUGUCCUUUCGUUUCUCCCUCUCUGAAGGCUGGAAGCUGGCCGGCUGAACUCUUGAGAGUCAGAGUGGCUGAAGAAAGGGGAGGAAUCAGAUCAUAGGCGCUGUGGGUCCAGAAACACCAGGACUCAGCUGGGUUUCUCUCUGGCAGCUGUGGGCAAGUGACCUCUCUAUUCAGCACCUCGGCUUCUUCAGCUGCCAAAUGGGGUUGGUAAGAGCCCAACCCAGGCAAGUGAAGUAGGGGGUCCGUGUAGAAAGGCAGGGUGCCCACCACAGGUCCUUCCCACCUGAGGGGCUGAGGAAACAUCCCCUCCUUCCCCCUAGGAAGACCAAAGCUACUAUGGGGGUGGAGGGAAGCCCUUUGUAGGGACCUCCCUGCCCAGAAAUGACUGACCUUGGCCUGACCUCAUUGCUAACACCUUGCUCAGGCCCAGGGUAGCCCUGUAGCUGACCCUUUGGUUUCCUCCCCUUCCUGCUUUCCUUGCCCCCAAGUUGUCAAUGCCAAGCAUAAAUAUGCAGGUGACCAGCUUGCUCAGUUUUCUGGAGCACCCCCCUCCCUGCUCCAUAAGAUCCAAGAACACCCCACCCCCCAAGGUCGCACACACCUGUCCUCACUCCUGGCAAGUUCAUUCUUCCUUGGCUGCCCCCCCCCCCAUUCAACUUUAUAAAUCCUGUCCAGGAGUUACCUUCUCUGGCCCUUGCCUCUCCUUUUUGUCUUUUGCAGGUGCGCCUGACACGCACUUCGUGUCCCCGCCCCCCCACUGUAGAGUGGUUUGUUAUCAUCUACCUAGCUGUCUCCCCCUACUGGAGUGUGAACUCUUGGAGGGCUGACAUCUUUAAUUCGGGACUUCGCUUCCCUCCCCCAUGUCUAGCGCAGGGAUGACACCCAAUUAAUACCUAGUGAAUUGAUUGGAGAGUGUGUGCAGAGGUAUAGCUGGGGACACUUCCAGGACGCUGGGCAGGAGUAUGGAAGACGCCUUUCUCCAUUAUCUUGCCCCCAUCCACACUCCUCUUCCGCUAGCCCGGGUCCCAUCUUCUCCAGGACCAAGCCCAGAGAGGGAUUCAGCGGCCUUCUAGCUCAGGUACCCUCUCCCACCGUUUCUCUGAUUGGGCCAGACCUGUCCCAUCCCGUCACUCCUUAAGGGCCCCACUCGCAUCGUUGCCCUUUUAAGAAAGAGGAAAUUCUUCUCAUAAACAAGCGCCUCAACCUGAGCGCGGAGCUUGCCCCGCCGGAUCCCUGGGCAAUCGAGGGUGCUUCCAGGCACAAAACCCGCUCCAGGCUCACCCCAGGGCAAAGGCCUGGGGGCCCCUUCUGGUCACCUCUCUCCGCAGCUCCAGGGCAGUGGUCAGAAGGACCCGACGAGGCCGGAGGAGGGACUUGGGGGAGCCUAGAAACAGCCCAGGGAGCGUCUGUAAAGUGCAACCCUUGCACCGGGCGAAGGGGUGCCGGGCGGCUCCCAGCGGCCAAGGGGGUUCCCCGCCCACACAGCUCCCCUCCACCCUCCGCCUCCCCCCACCUUCCGAAGCCCCGGGGCGCGAAGUCGGAGCGCUUGCCUCCAGCUCUUGGGCCGGGAGGGAGUGAGGGCGCUCGGGACCGUCCCUGCCCCUAGGGGGAGCUGGGAGUCAGCACCCAGGGAGCGUUAAGUGCGCGGCGUGGGAGUCCCGGCCGCCCAGUCCCCUGGGGAAAUGGCAAAUGAAUUGGGCCUCGGAGGCACGACUCUUGGGUUCCAUGACCUGGCGCCUGAAGAGAAGUCUGCGCCUUGGUUUUACGGCCUGGAAAGUGGGUUAGUUUGAAGCUACUCUAGGAACUGACGUUCGAAUGGGGUGGGGGGCGGGGAGGACUCUUCUACUGGUCCAAGGAUUUUGUCCUUUCCCUGUUUCUACUUUCCAGCGCCUUUGGAUGAGAAGUAGACUAGCAUUUAUUGAGCAUUCAUCAAGCUAAUCAGACCAUCGUAAGUGCCAGUUUGAUGCCUGUGUCCCGCCCCCAAAUGGGUCCGUUUGUCAGGUCACUCCUAUAGGCCCACAAUAAAUAUUUUUGGAGUUACUAUUA
Molecule: long non-coding RNA, 2440 nt
Organism: Felis catus (domestic cat)
Lineage: Eukaryota; Metazoa; Chordata; Mammalia; Carnivora; Felidae
Exons: 2
Source: RefSeq, a predicted model, not a curated record